Molecule: ribosomal RNA, 406 nt
Filed under: uncultured bacterium
Lineage: Bacteria
Description: partial 16S ribosomal RNA
Rfam family: Bacterial small subunit ribosomal RNA
Source: RNAcentral
AUUGAACGUUGGCGGCAGGCCUAACCCAUGCAAGUCGAGCGAGCGGCGGACGGUUGAGUAAUGAUUGGGAAACUGCCUGAUGGGGGGGGAUAAUAACUGGAAAGGGUAGUUAAAACCGCUUACCACCGGUUGAGCCCAGUUGGGAUUAGCUAGUAGGGGGGGUAAUGGCUCACCUAGGCGAGGAUCCCUAGCUGGUCUGAGAGGAGGACCAGCCACACGGGGACUGAGACACGGCCCAGACUCCUACGGGAGGCAGCAGUGGGGAAUAUUGCACAAUGGGCGCAAGCCUGAUGCAGCCAUGCCGCGUGUAUGAAGAAGGCCUUCGGGUUGUAAAGUACUUUCAGCGGGGAGGCGUUACCCGCAGAAGAAGCACCGGCUAACUCCGUGCCAGCAGCCGCGGUAAUUC